UGCUUUUCCGAAAUAUUAUUCCAUUCAUAAUGUAUAUACUGAAUGCAUAUAGACAAACUUAUCAAUAAUGUGUUCAUAUAUAUAUUUGUAAAAUAACAAAAGAAAGGAUUAACAUUCCAUUUGUACUGUAUCAUUUACACACCCUUUGGGAAGAAAACAAAUUAACAUCAUUUGCAAAUAAAAUAAAUUGUUGUCUAUAGUUCUGGGCAAAUAAUAAUUAGCUUGUCAACUUGAAUUCUCCAAAAUCUACAUCUUCACUUGUAAACUGAAGUCUUCAAGACCUAUGACAAGUAUGAAAUGAAUUCACUUCAGAAAAACUAUAAUAAUCAACCAGAAAGUUUGAGUAACUAAUUGCGAGACCUACAUUAUUUCAUAAACUAAUUACAAUAUAACAAUACUUUGGUCAUAUAAGAAACUUGCAUUAUGAAAUAAAACACAAAAUAGCCAUCUCGGCAACUAAAACACUGUAAGAGACUCAAAAAGUGCAUUUGUUUUAUCAAUGACAAGGAGAACUACAUCUUAUUAUAUACAAAUAGGUUCCAUAGGCUUAGAGGGAGACAAACAGAUAAUUAUUUACCAUAUUACACCUCAAGUUGUAAGUGCCACGCAACCUAAGAAACAAAGAUUAAGUUCAACAUUAGCAUUAAUGAGAAUCAUCCAAAGUCCAUAAUAUAGCGUUAAUGAGAAUCAGCCCUCAUUAUUUAAUACAUAUAAAGAUAGGAUGCAAAUUAUAAGAUCGAAUAACAUUAUGUUAUAUAAACUACUAACAAACAAAUUGCACUUUUAAAGUACAUCUUCCUUUAGAGAAUAUCUGGCACAUAAAUGUUUAAGAAAAAAAUCAAAAUCAGUGCCUUAUAACUUUUCCCAUUAUCAUAAUCAGAUUUUGGGUUCUGCUAUAAACAAGAAAUUGUGAGGGGUUUAUGUUCUUAUCAGUUCAAUGUAGAAAAUUUCCGGAUCACGUAACACAGAUCAGGGUAAAUCUACUGAUGCAAAAAUAAAAAAUAAACUAUUGACAAUGAUCCUAUACUUGAACCUAAAACUUGUUGUCCUUGCAAUUAGCCUUUAACUUGUGAGAAAAUAUUUAGCAAUUCCUUAAUGAUCAAUGCACACACACAUAGAUAUUUUUUUUGUAAAAGAAACAUAAUUUUUACAAGAAUUUGUGAAAGAAAUUUCUGGACCUGCUGUCUAACUCUCUCAAGUUUCAGCUCAAGUUGUGCUAACUUCAAAUGGCAUUGUUUUCAACUACUGAACUUACUCCUAGAAAGAGAAGGGAAGAGAAUCAAGAAAAGGAAUUUAUCUUCCAUAUAAUUGAAUUUUAAAAAGCAAAAUUUCUUGUACCUUUUUCCGCAUACGGCUUUCACACAGUGAGCUUUGAUAUUGCUGCUAAACACAAAAGUGAGAGAUAAAGAGGAAAUGGCUUUGGGUAUGCACGCCUUGUCGGGAAUACUCUAUUUGUUGAUAAUCCCAUAUCAGAGGGUAUAAAUUGUUCAUAAAAGUAAAAAGAGUACAUAACCAGAUGAGUGUUUGAGAUAUACUACAUGAAACGUUGCAGUGUUACAACAAAAAUAAAAUCAUAUUUGAGAACCUAAGAAAUGUAUCCCAAAUUGUUAUAAAAUUAUAUCAUGAAGAUACAUGCGAACUUCAGAGUGACGUCUGACACGGAGAUGCAGAGAAUAGAAGACUAAAGUUUCAACUAAAUGGUUAUAACAUGAUAUAGAGUGUAAGGUUGAGUUUCAGUCCAAAAGUAAAUUGUACCUGCAUGAGUAGCAAAAACAAACUGAGAACCAGCAACGAAAUCAAUAAAAGUGGAUAAAAGAGAAUAAGGAAAAAUUAAAAAUUGAUUCAGAUUGUUAGAAGAAAGUCUAUCAUUUCAAGAGUGCAACAUCCCUCACAAAUGAACCUCCACCUUCAUCAAUAGAUAACCUUAACAACCGUUGCACCAAGAUCAAAUAUCUUCAUAAAAUCUUAUAGAACUACAAGUACAACACUGAUUCACUUAUUCAAGCAACCUCCUUGUGGAGAAACCAGAAACACAUCUCCUUCAAGGUGUUCAACUUUAAUACCACGUUUCCCUAACAUUUCAAUAUUUUCUUUAAAACAUGUCUUAGAACCAUACAACAACAUAUUUAAAAUUACCAAUUUCAAUCUAUCAUUUUCACAAAGGCUUUGCGCGGAUGAAUCUUUACUUUUUUCUGUAACUUCAAUCCAUCUACUAGAGCACUAGCAGCAAACAGUUUUUUCACCAGUUGAAAUAGCCAUUGUCUAAUAAAUUCACAAGUUUAAUUUCUUUUAGCAAACAUAACUAUCACUCGUAUUUAAAAGAAGCUACAUGAACCUGAUAAUCACCGUAGACUAGCAAGCUCAGUUUAGCACCUCACCUAAUGUCAAUUGGUAACAAAGUACAAUAAUCAUGUUAAUUAAAGCUUCCUUUUAGUACGUAAAGGAGUGUUUAGUAGCAAUAUUUGACAUGGGUAUAAUAAUAUUAAGAAGCUCACUAUAAAAUAAACACCCAAUUUUAGCAAAAAUGUGGAUAACAUGUAUCCAUCAACAAAAUGAAGAGCAACAAUGAAAAUACAUACCAAAAAUCACUCAUUGCCCCCAUAAAUGAAAUGAAUCAAAACCCACAAGCAUUAACAACAAAAUCCAGCAAGUCUAAAAUAGUGAGUGGAAGAAAGGAACUCUAACCGAUGAUUGGAACACUUCAUCUCUUAAGCAAGUCGUAAAGAUAAUCAAAUCUUGCAUUCAAGAAACAAAAUUGUCAGCACACACAUAUACAAGCAUAGCUGAAGCAGAUAAAGAGAAUAGAAUUAUGGGAAUCNAAACUUACGAAUUUCAAGCUAAUACUCCUGGAAGCACCUCGGACCACAAUGAAACAACUCCUUCCCAUCUCACUGCGGAAGCUGAAAUGAAUAACACGUGAGCUCUUCUUCACAAAACGGCUCAGAGAUAUGGCCUCGCCAUAAAAAUAACUUGUUGAAUCACAAUAUGCCAACUCAAUCGCACAGAUCCGACUUCAGUUGGUGAUGGAAAAAAUUAUCCAAAAUAACUUAGCAAAAUUGAAUAAUCUGUAGAAUAGUCGUGAACAGAUUGAUGAUGGAAAUCGUCAUUUUGAACAAUAAAAUCAAGAACAGAUUUAGAUGAAAUACUAGAACUGAUUGUCAAAGUGAUGAGGGUUUGGGGAUUUUGAGAGAAACGUUGAGAGACGGGGAGUAAACCCUAGUUCCUAAAUGACGACUUGGGGAAUGUUUUUAAGUGUUUCUAUUUCUUUAUUUCUUUUUCUAGGUUUCUAUCUCUUUAUAAUUAUAAAAAUAUUAAAAUUUUAGAAGAAAAUUUUGGGCGGCACCUCAAGUCUCGCACUCCCGCUCUGUUAUGCAUAUUAGGGACGAGAGUUUUAUAAUAAU
RNAcentral lists this long non-coding RNA (3401 nucleotides) under Nicotiana tabacum (common tobacco). Its description in RNAcentral is "long non-coding RNA (NTAB_LNC001096)". The record is from RNAcentral. Lineage: Eukaryota; Viridiplantae; Streptophyta; Magnoliopsida; Solanales; Solanaceae.